CAGUCUGAACUAGUAAUUGAACCGCCACUAGUGCCAAAGGCCAGCACAUUUGCCUCCUCUACCAGAGAGAUAUCUUCUUCUGAACUAGCAAUUGAACUGCAAGAGGCCAGCCCAUUUGCCUCCUCUACUAGAGAGAUAUCUUCUGUAAGUAACUGCGCCAAAACGAUGAAAAUAAUGACAAAAUGCUUUUGGUAUAAUAGCGUUUUUUUAGUUUUGUUUUGUUUUUCAGUCUGAACUAGCAAUUGAACUGCCACUAGUGCCACAGGCCAGCACAUUUGCCUCCUCUACUAAAGAGAUAUCUUCUUCUGAACUAGCAAUUGAACUGCAAGAGGCCAGCCCAUUUGCCUCCUCUACUAGAGAGAUAUCUUCUGUAAGUAACUGCGCCAAAACGAUGAAAAUAACGACAAAAUGCUUUUGGUAUAAUUGCGUUUUUUUUUUAGUUUUGUUUUGUUUUUCAGUCUGAACUAGCAAUUGAACUGCAAGAGGCCAGCCCAUUUGCCUCCUCUACUAGAGAGAUAUCUUCUUCUGAACUAGCAAUUGAACUGCAAGAGGCCAGCACAUUUGCCUCCUCUACUAGAGAGAUAUCUUCUUCUGAACUAGCAAUUGAACUGCAAGAGGCCAGCACAUUUGCCUCCUCUACUAGAGAGAUAUCUUCUGUAAGUAACUGCGCUAAAACGAUGAAAAUAAUGACAAAAUGCGUUUGUUAUGAUUGCGUUUUUUGUUGUUGUUGUUAUUCCGUCUGUACUAGCAAUUGAACCGCAACAGGCCAGCACAUCUGCGUCAUUCGUAGAAGCACUUUCUCCUGUAAGUAACUAUGUGUAGCUUAUGACGGGUACAGUGCAGAAUUACAGUUCCUUGCGUUUACUUAUUCUCGUGUUGUUAUUUCUUCUUGACAGCGUUGCUUAGAAGGUGAAACUAGUGAGAGACACGUUUGAGCAAUGUGAUAUAGCCUACAAAACGCGGACAGCGCUGUUGACUGAUUCAGAACGGGCUUUUUGAGGCUUCCUCUGACCGGGGGGGCCGUAACUUUGAACCAUUGGAGCUAUUAUGACCAAACUUUCAAAGAAUCAUUUUUUGACA
This is a long non-coding RNA of Nematostella vectensis (starlet sea anemone), 1080 nucleotides long. RefSeq lists it as uncharacterized. The record is from RefSeq and is a predicted model, not a curated record. NCBI's taxonomy places the organism in Eukaryota, Metazoa, Cnidaria, Anthozoa, Actiniaria, Edwardsiidae. The transcript has 5 exons.